AGCCGGGUGACUGAGUGGCUAAGUAGAGGUCUGCAAAACCUUGCACGGCAGUUCGAACCUGCCCCCGGCGU
RNAcentral lists this transfer RNA (71 nucleotides) under Mucilaginibacter sp. SMC90. Its description in RNAcentral is "tRNA-Cys". It matches the Rfam family "tRNA". Rfam says of the family: Transfer RNA (tRNA) molecules are approximately 80 nucleotides in length. Their secondary structure includes four short double-helical elements and three loops (D, anti-codon, and T loops). Lineage: Bacteria; Pseudomonadati; Bacteroidota; Sphingobacteriia; Sphingobacteriales; Sphingobacteriaceae. The record is from RNAcentral.